RNAcentral lists this small nucleolar RNA (146 nucleotides) under Mesocricetus auratus (golden hamster). RNAcentral describes it as "Small nucleolar RNA SNORA25 (ENSMAUG00000006174.1)". The record is from RNAcentral. Lineage: Eukaryota; Metazoa; Chordata; Mammalia; Rodentia; Cricetidae.
AGGACAGCCAGGGCUACAGAGAGAAACACUGUAUGAAAAAACAAAACUAAAACCAAAAGCUCUUAACGCUGUGACCAAAGAUAGAUGUUCUCCACAGAACAAAACAGGCACUUGAUAGUGCUGUGUUUUUCUGAGAAGAUACAUGC